CUCCAUACUAUUAUCUUUUCUCAAAAUCGUGUAUGAAAGGGUGUAUGGGGCUGACAUCCCAACCAGAGCAAGCUCCAUCUUCAUUUGUCAUUAUGAGUGUAUAUAGCGCAUCUUCAGUUGUCUUAUAAUCUAUUACCUAUCGAAUAUUGAAAACCUCCGGUUCUCACAGUUCCGUAUGACACGGACGUAUUAUCCUGCACUUAGACUUUUUAAGUAAAUAAUGCGAAUUCCACGUUUCUUUUUGGUAGUAUGGAUAAAGGAAUGACUCAUGCUGUUCUAGGCAAUAUUUCGGUGAGAAAUGUUCACUGUUUAUUGGUCAAAGUAGGUUGGCCCUUCACCUCCCAGGCGACGAUGCUGAUGCUCCACUCAGAAAAUCUUAAUGACAAUUCAUGAUCGUGCUUGCUCAGGUUGGGAUAUCAGCCCCAUAGACCCUUUGAGAAAAGAUAACAGUGUGGAGCACAAGGUACACUUCCACACAGACGCACACUUUUGCUCACGACACCGCCAUCGACUCCGGUAUUGGCAGCAGCAGGGUGGUGUGGCGGCGUGACAGGGCUGACAUGCAAUGCGGAUACACUAAGAGCUGCCGGUAGCAAUUCAAGACCCGCAGGAGUGGCCUCGGCUGCAACACUUGCCCGGACACACCACGGCUGGUGCCGCAGCCUGGGCAGCAGGGCAGUGCUGCAGGCUGAGAGUGAUUGUUGGGUUGCUGCCUGACCAGGAAGGCAGCGAGGAAAGAUGCAUAAUGAUUUUUCAAUAAAGUGAAGAUAAGCAGAAUGUGUCAGACUGUGGCUGUGUGUCCUGUUGCACUGAAGGAUCUCCCAUGUGGCGGCUGUGACUGGUGAGCAACAAGUGUGGUGUUAAGCUUGGUGACUGAUUUAGUUAAUUGUAAGUGUUGCUAAUAUUUGGAAGGUAAGAGAUUCUCUGUUGAUUUAGUUAAUUGUAAGUUGCUAAUAUUUGGAAGGUAAGAGAUUCUCCUACAGAAGUGUUAUCACUGCCACAGUUCAUGUCUUUGUGAUGGAUUUGGCCAUUUUCAUAAAAAAAAAUAUUGUCAAGAAAACAGUCAAGAACAGAAAAACUUGACUGACUGCACUGUUGUGAUGACACUGAGGAGCAGCAGAGGUUAUGUUGAUUCUCAAGUUUUUGUGUAGUGAAGGUUUAUAACACAGACAAAUGCAGGAUGGUGGAAGGAGUCUGGCCUGACUUGUCUCCUUGUUGAUAACCCUCCACACAUCUGUGAGCUUCUCCUCAACCUCUGCACCCACGCCACAGACCACGUUGCAGUUUGUCAUGUCACACACUCUUGCUGUGUUGUGUUUGUGGUAAGGAGAAAAUAAUGAGGCUGCAGACUCCAGCAGGGUUGCAUUUAAUGUCCAAGGUAACAGGCUGCAUUUAAGGAAAGUAUGUAAUUAUAUACACCAAUAUGCCUUUCAAAAGACCAAGUAUUAAUCUUUUUUGGGGUGUUGCUUUUGUGAAAAAAAUACUUAGCAUGAAGCAUUGUAUUUGUAGGCCACCAAGUGCUACCUGCUGUCCCUUGACCCACACACUCCUCUCAGAUAGCAUUCCAAACUAUAAGUUCUAUGCAAAUUACAUAAUUGUUCUCUUGUGAUAAAUACAUUAUACAAUUAAGUAACAAUAUUUGCACUUUCAGUCUGCAAAGCACUUAAUUUUAACUAUAGAUGAUUGCAAUUUAUUGUACUUUUUCCCCAGAUUUAGUAUUUGUCCGUUGAAAGCCAGUCCCGUAAAUCUAACGUACACAACCAUGGGUGAGUGAUGCCGUGAUGCCUUGGUGUGGGAGUGACACCUCCCUACCCAUCAGGCAGAGCAGGCGGGGUGGCAGGGGAGGGUGUAAUCCCUCAGGGUGACACUGAUUCACUGGAGGACACACAGUAGCUGAGGGUGAGGAGACAGGCUGGCAGUAUGGAGGGCUGUCUGAUCUUCUGUGAGUGUGGUGCAGAUGGCUGGCAACCACAUGACACUAAGUGGUAUUGCCAGUGUGGCAACAGAUGAUAGUCUUUGGCAUUUCCAACCAGCAUAAUGAUGUCUGACUGGUGACCAGCUUGUGUGUCAAGCUGAUGCACCCAACACAAGCUGCAGCCCUCAUGACUCACUGACUGGUGGUCCUCGGGGACACUGUAGUGGCAUGCUGGCAGACCUUAUACCAUGUAUAUAAAUAUAAAAUUGAUAUAUGCAUAUCUAUGCCUACACCAGAGUUUUUUCUAUAAAUAUAAUGCAUACUUUCAUAGAAAAUGUGGACCAUCUUCUACAUCGUGAGCACGCCGGCUCAAUGCUGAGACCAAGAGUUGUGGGGACCUUUGGGCCGGUGGCACGCCGCACCAGCCGCAUCAAGACCACUGUCCUUCAGGCAGUAUUUGUGCACUCAGGAUUUCAUUUACUGGUUGUCAUCCACACAAUCUGUCACUGUCUUUGAGCAACUUAACAACCAUUUACAAGGAAACUACCUGUCAGUGUACCAUCACCAGCACUUCCCCUCAACAAGUCCUUCAAUGGUUGAGCUUGAGGAUCACCGCAGCCGAGACACAACUCUACUGUUCAUGCAAGAACAUGAGCUGAAGCUUUGGUGAACCUGACGACCUGAACAACCAUAGGGAGCAGCAGCUCAGCCUCUCCUGGCAUAUCUCUCUCCUGUGCCACACACUCCCAGAUACUGUCAAUGCCUAGCUGGGUUGUUCCCAUCUAGAGGCAUGAAGCAGGCCAGCUUUGUCACUGUGCAGGAGACAAAUGGUUGAAGCUCGUUGGGUCUGAUGGCUUGGGGUGUGCGGUGCUGGAGAGUUCAUGGAGAGAGUUGGGUGUGAGUUGGAAGGUGGUGGUGUUGGUGGUGUUGAUGGCGUCGGUGGAGUGUGGUGGCUGGACUCAGGUCACAUUGGCAGGGUUAGGGGUGUUCUUGGUGCCAUGGUCGCCGGCCGCCACAAUCUCAGAGUAGAGGAUGUCAAUGGGGAUGCGGUCAUCAUACAGGGUGGGCGCCUGCAGGAUGAUGCCAGCUGUGCCCAGCAGCACCGCCAGCGUGAAGAUCCACAGGAACAGGCGGUCAAGCACCAUAGCCACGUACUUCCAGUCCUCUUUCACCUGGCGGGGAAACAUUGGGCUAAUAACAGUUUGUCAUUGGUCCUACAGUUCAUGAUGAACUUUCAUGCUGAAAGUGGCUUAUAAGUUCACAUUCAAAAGGAACUCUUUCCUCAUAAAAUUUUUUGUAUUAUAACAGUUCUGAUAUUUUAAUCAGUUACAGAAUUUAGAGAAAAUCCUGAACUGGUUUUUAAUUUUGUGUGCAUUGAUUACAUAGUUUAAACUGUUUUAUUUUAUCACAGGUAGAUCAUAAGCCCACACUGCUGACAACACAACACCAGGGGGCACUGCUUCCCUUUCAUGGAUAAUGAAGGACUCCUCCUCCCGACGGGUAUGCUCAGCGAUGAACUUGACGCCCUCGAAGGCCUUCAUCACCUCGGGACAGUAUUGGGUGCUGCCAUUGUCCGUGGUGCCCCGGCCUGGCGAUCCCACGUUGCCGUUGAGCCCCACGCCAAGGUCAUCUGCUAGCACUGCUGGUCCAUGGAUCUUGCAGCCACCGUUGAUGCCCAGAGCCUCAAUGUCACGGCUGGGAAGGCACAUGUGUGAGGAGGAGGUUGUGCAAUAUUCAGCAACUCAUCCAGUCCCACUUGAGUGUUUUCCUGUAUGGCGAUGAGAAUGAAGGUCAGUGCUUAUGUGAGCAAUCUUUUUUCAUUCACUCUCAUCACCACAGGAGAACACUCGUUUGGGGCUGGAUGGGCUUAAGAGCUGAAGAGUACAAAGGGAGUCUAUCAGCAGCAAGCAAAUGAAGAGCAAGAAAUGUACUGUAUAGCCAAACAUAGUACUUUUUCAAAUGUGUUGUGGAGAUAAAAACAUCUGGGGCCACUCUGACACCAUCUAGACAAAUGAACAACAGCACACUAUCAAGAACUGUGAGAGAGGUAACUGCCAGUGCUUGCCGGCUACCUGGGGGAGUACUCGCUGUGUGGAGAGCGCGGUCUGCUGCCAGCCAUGUCCAUGUAGAUGAGUCCCUCCCGAAUGGCGUCCCGCAGCUCCUGCUGGCUCCUGCAGGACACACAAGGCAUUGACACCACACCACUCAAGGAACAACUGUAAUGUGCUGUUAUGUUGAUCAAGUCUAAUUUGUAUUCUUUCUAAAACCAACUUGUAAUUUUAUUUAAUAAAAAAAAUGCAUAGAAUAUAAAACAUUUU
Scylla paramamosain (green mud crab) is the source of this 4233-nucleotide long non-coding RNA. RefSeq lists it as uncharacterized. The transcript is spliced from 7 exons. NCBI's taxonomy places the organism in Eukaryota, Metazoa, Arthropoda, Malacostraca, Decapoda, Portunidae. The record is from RefSeq and is a predicted model, not a curated record.